CUAAAUUCCACGUAAUAAUUACUCACAUGACACCCGUCAUUUAUGUCAACAAUUUGUUAAAGAAAAAAAAAUUAAAAGAUUAAAAGAUAUUUAUAAUAAUAUAGUUCUGGAAAUUAAAAACAUAAUUAAAUUAUAUAUUAAUAAUAUAGUUCGGUUGACACCAACUAAUAUUUAUUCUGGAAUCAUACUUGAGGAGUGGUAGAAUGAGUGCUGCAAUUGAAAUUGGUAUCAGCUUCUGUAGAAGUGCUUUUAGCUGAGAUGCUACGAUCUGCUGCAUUUCUGACACUGAUAUAUAUCUUAUUCGCAUCCAACAUUGCACGGUAGACACUGAUGUAUACCUCUUUAGAGAUGCAAAUUACUCCGUCUCUUCAAUCAACUUUAUGCCAUAAGCUUCUAUAAUAUCCAGUGCUGCAAAGUCCACAGUAUACAACUUCUUCAACAUAUGCAUCAUUUUCGCAAUAAUCAAUGACAGAAUAUUCAUCUGAUGCAAAGAAACUUUCCUAAAAAUUCAAAUUACGCAACUUUCUGCAAUUCUUUGACCAUGUGACUGCCAAAUAUGCUGAUUAUGCAAGCCAGAAAAACUAGAUUCAACAAAUGAACAACAAAACUAAGCACAAGAAUAGAAAGGGAUGGAAAGUACCAGAGCUCCAACAGCAGCUGGAAUACCAACAGUAAGAGCCAUGGCAGUUGUGGCGUUUCCAUUAACAGUCUUCCCAAAUUCAAGUAAAGUAGCUCUGUGUUUCUCUGUCUUUUGGCUAUCUGGGUAUUCUAUUUCCACUUCAUGGUGCAAAAGCACCAUGUCCUGCUUACAAACCAAGUAAAAGGUUAAGGUACUGAUACUAAAAUGUAUGCUUUAUUACGUAAAUAAGUUACUUUAGCAGUAUUUAAUGUGAUAUGCGGAUGGAAUACCAUGUUUUGCUGGAUUUUGGAAGAAAUUACAUUAAGCAGUCAUUUUUUUGUUGUUCC
This 966-nucleotide small RNA is filed under the name Vigna angularis var. angularis. RNAcentral describes it as "Non-protein coding transcript". The record is from RNAcentral. Lineage: Eukaryota; Viridiplantae; Streptophyta; Magnoliopsida; Fabales; Fabaceae.